GAAAUGCGAUACGUAGUGUGAAUUGCAGAAUUCCGUGAAUCAUCGAAUCUUUGAACGCACCUUGCACUCGACUUCGGUUGAGUAUGCCUGUCUGAGAAUCUUUAGAUUUCUUUACCCCUAGGGGUGAGAUUUGAGCUCUUUCAUUUACGUGAAUGGCUUUAAAAGCAGUGCUUUGUUAGUAGCGUCAUGUUGUGACUCACCAAAGUGUAUGAAGGGUCCGCCCAACUUCCUUUAGUGUUAGCAAUAGCUGCUGGUGAUGCCCACCGAAACCUAGUUUCACUAAGUCAGUUUACUGGCUUGAACUUUGGUCUCAGAUCAGGUAGGAAGACCCGCUGAACUUAA
RNAcentral lists this unclassified non-coding RNA (342 nucleotides) under uncultured fungus. RNAcentral describes it as "sequence contains ITS1". The stretch from base 1 to 101 matches the Rfam family "5.8S ribosomal RNA", at positions 50 to 154 of the family's 154-position model. Lineage: Eukaryota; Fungi. The record is from RNAcentral.